Molecule: ribosomal RNA, 309 nt
Filed under: uncultured eukaryote
Lineage: Eukaryota
Description: partial 18S ribosomal RNA
Rfam family: Eukaryotic small subunit ribosomal RNA
Source: RNAcentral
CCCUUAGAUGUUCUGGGCGGCCCGCGCACUACAUUGGCACUCUCAAUAAGUUCCUAGAUCUAAAACUUUGGGGUAUUCUAUUAAGUGGUGUCGUGACUGGGAUUAACCCUUGCAAUUAUUGGUUACGAACGAGGAAUUCCUUGUAAUCGCGGUUUAUCAGCCCGCGUUGAAUGCGUCCCUGCCCUUUGUACACACCGCCCGUCGCUCCUACCGAUGAAUCGUCCGGUGAAGUUCAUGGAGUGGUGGUUGUUCCAGCUGCUGUCGAAGUGAAAUGGACCUCACGGUUUAGAGGAAGGAGAAGUCGUAACA